GACGAACGCUGGCGGUGUGCUUAACACAUGCAAGUCGAACGAAGAGCGCUGGAAGCUUGCUUCUAUCAAAAUUAGUGGCGAACGGGUGAGUAACGCGUACUCCACCUGCCCUUCAGAGGGGGACAACAGUUGGAAACGACUGCUCAUGCCGCAUACGAUCUGACCUCGGCAUCGAGGAUAGAUGAAAGGUGGCCUCUAUUUAUAAGCUAUCACUGAAGGAGGGGAUUGCGUCUGAUUAGCUAGUUGGAGGGGUAACGGCCCACUAAGGCGAUGCUCAGUAGCCGGUCAGAGAAGAGGAACUGCGACAGUGGGACUGGAACACGGCCCAGACUCCGACGGGAGGCAGCAGUGGGGAAUCUUCCGCAAUGGACGAAAGUCAUACUGGGCAACGCCGCGUGAGUGAUUACAGCCUUCGGGUUGGAAAGCACUGUUAAUCGGGACGAAAGGCCUUCUUGCGAAUAGUUAGAAGGAUUGACGGUACCGGAAGAGAGAGCCACGGCUAACUACGUG
RNAcentral lists this ribosomal RNA (510 nucleotides) under uncultured bacterium. RNAcentral's name for it is "partial 16S ribosomal RNA". It matches the Rfam family "Bacterial small subunit ribosomal RNA", at positions 28 to 507 of the family's 1533-position model. The record is from RNAcentral.